Molecule: ribosomal RNA, 255 nt
Filed under: uncultured bacterium
Lineage: Bacteria
Description: partial 16S ribosomal RNA
Rfam family: Bacterial small subunit ribosomal RNA
Source: RNAcentral
CGGAGGGGACGAGUGUUACUCAUAAUAACUGGGGCGUAAAGGGUACGUAGAUGGUUUAUUAAGUUAAUUAUAAAAAUUAAAUUAAAAGUUUAUAAAAUAAUUAAUACAUUAAAACUAGAGUAUAAAAGAGGAAUAUGGAAUUUUUAGUGAAAGGGUGAAAUUUUACGAUAAUAAAAAGAACGAUCAAAAGACGAAGGCAAUAUUCUGGGUUAUUACUGACAUUGAGGUACUGAAGCAUGGGGAGCAAAUCGGAUU